GACGAACGCUGGCGGCGUGCUUAACACAUGCAAGUCGAACGGAAAGGCCCUGCUUUUGUGGGGUGCUCGAGUGGCGAACGGGUGAGUAACACGUGAGUAACCUGCCCUUGACUUUGGGAUAACUUCAGGAAACUGGGGCUAAUACCGGAUAGGAGCUCCUGCUGCAUGGUGGGGGUUGGAAAGUUUCGGCGGUUGGGGAUGGACUCGCGGCUUAUCAGCUUGUUGGUGGGGUAGUGGCUUACCAAGGCUUUGACGGGUAGCCGGCCUGAGAGGGUGACCGGCAACGUUGGGACUGAGAUACGGCCCAGACUCCUACGGGAGGCAGCAGUGGGGAAUAUUGCACAAUGGGCGGAAGCCUGAUGCAGCAACGCCGCGUGCGGGAUGACGGCCUUCGGGUUGUAAACCGCUUUCGCCUGUGACGAAGCGUGAGUGACGGUAAUGGGUAAAGAAGCACCGGCUAACUACGUG
Molecule: ribosomal RNA, 468 nt
Filed under: uncultured bacterium
Lineage: Bacteria
Description: partial 16S ribosomal RNA
Rfam family: Bacterial small subunit ribosomal RNA
Source: RNAcentral